RNAcentral lists this ribosomal RNA (497 nucleotides) under uncultured bacterium. Its description in RNAcentral is "partial 16S ribosomal RNA". It matches the Rfam family "Bacterial small subunit ribosomal RNA", at positions 28 to 507 of the family's 1533-position model. The record is from RNAcentral.
GACGAACGCUGGCGGCGUGCCUAAUACAUGCAAGUUGAGCGAUGAAGAUUGGUGCUUGCCCCAAUUUGAAGAGCAGCGAACGGGUGAGUAACGCGUGGGGAAUCUGCCUUUGAGCGGGGGACAACAUUUGGAAACGAAUGCUAAUACCGCAUAAUAACUUUAAACAUAAGUUUUAAGUUUGAAAGAUGCAAUUGCAUCACUCAAAGAUGAUCCCGCGUUGUAUUAGCUAGUUGGUGAGGUAAAGGCUCACCAAGGCGAUGAUACAUAGCCGACCUGAGAGGGUGAUCGGCCACAUUGGGACUGGGACACGGCCCAAACUCCUACGGGAGGCAGCAGUAGGGAAUCUUCGGCAAUGGACGAAAGUCUGACCGAGCAACGACGCGUGAGUGAAGAAGGUUUUCGGAUCGUAAAACUCUGUUGGUAGGGAAGAACGUUGGUGAGAGUGGAAAGCUCAUCAAGUGACGGUAACUACCCAGAAAGGGACGGCUAACUACGUG